GACAGAGGGUGCUAGCGUUGUUCGGAAUUACUGGGCGUAAAGGGCGCGUAGGCGGUCUGUUAAGUUCGGUGUGAAAUCCCCUGGCUCAACUGGGGAACUGCGCUGGAAACUGGCAGACUCGAGUACCGGAGAGGAGAGUGGAAUUCCUGGUGUAGCGGUGAAAUGCGUAGAUAUCAGGAGGAACACCGGUGGCGAAGGCGGCUCUCUGGACGGAUACUGACGCUGAGGCGCGAAAGCGUGGGGAUCAAACAGG
RNAcentral lists this ribosomal RNA (253 nucleotides) under uncultured bacterium. RNAcentral describes it as "partial 16S ribosomal RNA". It matches the Rfam family "Bacterial small subunit ribosomal RNA", at positions 524 to 776 of the family's 1533-position model. The record is from RNAcentral.